RNAcentral lists this long non-coding RNA (1555 nucleotides) under Homo sapiens (human). Its description in RNAcentral is "HSALNT0337555". The record is from RNAcentral. Lineage: Eukaryota; Metazoa; Chordata; Mammalia; Primates; Hominidae.
UCAGCCUCUCAAAGUGCUGGGAUUACAGGCAUGAGCCACGGUGCCUGGGCUGACAAAUAUUUAUUAUUGAGUUUGUGGAACCCAGAAUGAUCUAGGGCCUCAGUGGCCACUGAACCCUGGGGCACACUUGAACAAAAAUAUGGGCUUCUCAGCCACUAUGCCUUGACAUCCUCUCUAAUCAGAAGUUUGUGUAAUAAGUGCAAAAGACAAUAUUCACAGUGACAAUGAUACUGUGAACUGCCAUAGGGAGAGUAGACAUGACUGUGGUGACAAUGCAGCGGCAGCAGGACCCUGUCCUCUCAUAAGUGGGCAUCCUUUCCCCAUGUGAACACCACAUAGCAGAAACGCCCAUCUUCCAAAGCCCUUUUAUCAUGUUAUGAAUUAUUUACACUUCCAUAUAUUUCAGUUAAAGAGUGGUAAUCAGAUCUGUAUGGAUGCCACUUGGGUCAUUUGUCAUUUCACUUGAAGGCAAAGAAAUGUUUUUAACUGGUAAGUACAACCUUAUCAUAAAAGUCUAUUUUCUGUAAGAAAUACUGAAAAUAUAUUAAAGACCUCCCUUAGUGCCCUUCAGGACACAUAAGAAUCCUAAUAUACCAGGUUGGGAACCAUUGCUAUAGGAUUUGAAAGGAAUAGUAAAUAGUAUUAUCUGAAAGUGAAGAGGAAGAAGAGAUUCUACUUAAAAAUAUUUGUUAAAUGACUGAAAGAAAUAAAUCUAUGAAGUCGUUUAGAACAUGGUCCUUUAGGGAAAGACCUGCCUGCUGUAGAUUCCAUUCACAUUUUAUACGUUUGUAAUGCCUUACAAAGCUAGUCUUUGCACUUAAAGCUACUGCUAACUGAGCAAUAGAAUCACACCUCAUAAGGCUUAAACUGUGUAUUUAAAGGUUUUGAUAGGGGAUCCAGAAAUCUGAGUGAAACCCUGGGUUCUGCAGGUACACAUGGCUCAUGUAUAAGGCAUUUGAAGGGCUUGUGGCCUUGAUGGGGAACACUGUCAACUCUGAUCCUGUUUGUCUGAGGUUACUUGGGGUACAAGAUGAAGACAGAAGGGCGUGCCUCCCUUCUGGAACCAUCACGGCCAGCAGCCGCAUGUUGGGCAGCUGCUGAUACUCAGGGUGCCCAGGCGGGAGAUGGUGAGAGGCCAGCCCUAGCCAAAUUCCUUGCUGCUGCCAGAGGAAGCAGUCUUGCCAUGUGUGUCCACAGGGAUAAGAUUAGCUGCCGAGGUGGAGCUGAUAUCUGAGCGAGGCUCUCGAGGACACAUUCUGGAUAGAUCUCCAUAUGGGAGUUGGAUGACUGCCACCAGCCAGUCUUGGCAGUCCCCAGAAUUCUUCUGAAGUGGACAGUGGAAGAAGUGAAACAUUUGCCUGGCAGCUGGCAUCAAUGCAGUCUCUCUCUGGACAUGCAGAAGAAAAGGUUCAAAAGGAACUGAACCCAAACCAGUCUUUAUUUGAUUUUAGAUGGAAUUAAAACAUUUUUGUGGGUCUCGACAAGUAUUGCCAGCACUGCACCUGCCACCCUGAUAGAGAUGGGGACUUGCUAUACUGCCCAGGCUGGAUAUGAA